This 497-nucleotide ribosomal RNA is filed under the name uncultured bacterium. Its description in RNAcentral is "partial 16S ribosomal RNA". It matches the Rfam family "Bacterial small subunit ribosomal RNA", at positions 28 to 507 of the family's 1533-position model. The record is from RNAcentral.
GAUGAACGCUGGCGGCGUGCCUAAUACAUGCAAGUCGAGCGAACAGACGAGGAGCUUGCUCCUUCGACGUUAGCGGCGGACGGGUGAGUAACACGUAGGUAACCUACCUAUAAGACUGGGAUAACUUCGGGAAACCGGAGCUAAUACCGGAUAAUAUUUCGAACCGCAUGGUUCGAUAGUGAAAGAUGGCUUUGCUAUCACUUAUAGAUGGACCUGCGCCGUAUUAGCUAGUUGGCAAGGUAACGGCUUACCAAGGCAACGAUACGUAGCCGACCUGAGAGGGUGAUCGGCCACACUGGAACUGAGACACGGUCCAGACUCCUACGGGAGGCAGCAGUAGGGAAUCUUCCGCAAUGGGCGAAAGCCUGACGGAGCAACGCCGCGUGAGUGAUGAAGGUCUUCGGAUCGUAAAACUCUGUUAUUAGGGAAGAACGAACGUGUAAGUAACUGUGCACGUCUUGACGGUACCUAAUCAGAAAGCCACGGCUAACUACGUG